This is a long non-coding RNA of Dreissena polymorpha, 748 nucleotides long. RefSeq lists it as uncharacterized. The transcript is spliced from 3 exons. Lineage: Eukaryota; Metazoa; Mollusca; Bivalvia; Myida; Dreissenidae. The record is from RefSeq and is a predicted model, not a curated record.
GCAAAAACAAGAGGCUGUUCAUAAAUCUUGAUUCUAAUUGAUAAAUACAGAGGCUUUAUGCACAUGACGAAUUACUGUUUUGAUUAAAAAGAUAUUGUAAUUGUAAAUCAAUUGUUUUCAUAACCGUUUUAUUUCCGGGUAUUAUUUUGAUCAAAAACGUCAACAACAUUCAGUGGACUUUGGAGAAUUGACGACCCUGAACAAGGCCGGGUACCAUGCUUUAAGCGGGAGAUAGUAUCUUGGUAGCAUAUUUAUUUAUAGGUGCUAUAAAAAGGGCAAUGAAAAGGAAUUUCAAGUCAAACAAAGAUUGAGUGUUCAUUUGUUACAAGACUUGGGAUGAUGAUUCUUUAAUGCUGUUACCUGCUUUUAGUGGUCGGCGCUUUGGUCGUACCUGCUGAUGCGAUCGAUGUGUGUAACUCUAUAUACAAUGACGGGUGCGGGGACCCGUUCGUUUCAUCCGCUUCCAAAGCUGGUUGCAGACAAUGUUCCAAACUGAAGGGAACCAAAGGGUCUAUUCAAUUCGUGGCAAGAGAUUGUGAGACGUUAACGGUUGCCAGCAACGGAUGUGCUUCUCAGACAAAGGAUGGUGCGAGCGGAGAGGUAUGUUUGUGCGACAGCAACCAAUGCAACACAGCGUCGACACCCCUUGCCUACCUUCCUAUCCUGCUGGUCGCCUUCGCUCUGGCGUCAACGAAAACGUUUUUGUAUUAGAGAACUUAAUUCAACGAAUAAACAUGUUUCAGUAUUA